CCUACGGGAGGCAGCAGUGGGGAAUAUUGCACAAUGGGGGAAACCCUGAUGCAGCGACGCCGCGUGAGUGAAGAAGUAUUUCGGUAUGUAAAGCUCUAUCAGCAGGGAAGAAAAUGACAGUACCUGAAAAAUAAGCCCCGGCUAACUACGUCCCAGCAGCCGCGGUAAUACGUAGGGGGCAAGCGUUAUCCGGAUUUACUGGGUGUAACGGGAGCGUAGACGGCAGUGCAAGUCUGGAGUGAAAGCCGGGGGCUCAACCCCGGGACUGCUCUGGAAACUGGACAGCUGGAGUGCAGGAGAGGGAAGUGGAAUUCCAAGUGUAGCGGUGAAAUGCGUAGAGAUGAGGAGGAACACCAGUGGCGAAGGCGGCCCCCUGGACUGAAACUGACGUUGAGGUGCGAAAGCGUGGGGAGCAAACAGGAUUAGAUACCCGGGUAGUC
This 440-nucleotide ribosomal RNA is filed under the name uncultured bacterium. RNAcentral describes it as "partial 16S ribosomal RNA". It matches the Rfam family "Bacterial small subunit ribosomal RNA", at positions 338 to 795 of the family's 1533-position model. The record is from RNAcentral.